RNAcentral lists this ribosomal RNA (404 nucleotides) under Actinomycetes bacterium. RNAcentral describes it as "Actinobacteria bacterium partial 16S ribosomal RNA". It matches the Rfam family "Bacterial small subunit ribosomal RNA", at positions 355 to 776 of the family's 1533-position model. Lineage: Bacteria; Bacillati; Actinomycetota; Actinomycetes. The record is from RNAcentral.
UGGGGAAUAUUUGACAAUGGGCGCAAGCCUGAUCCAGCCAUGCCGCGUGAGUGAUGAAGGCCCUAGGGUUGUAAAGCUCUUUCACCGGUGAAGAUAAUGACGGUAACCGGAGAAGAAGCCCCGGCUAACUUCGUGCCAGCAGCCGCGGUAAUACGAAGGGGGCUAGCGUUGUUCGGAUUUACUGGGCGUAAAGCGCACGUAGGCGGACUUUUAAGUCAGGGGUGAAAUCCCGGGGCUCAACCCCGGAACUGCCUUUGAUACUGGAAGUAUAGAGUAUGGUAGAGGUGAGUGGAAUUCAGAGUGUAGAGGUGAAAUGCGGAGAUAUUCGGAGGAACACCAGUGGCGAAGGCGGCUCACUGGACCAUUACUGACGCUGAGGUGCGAAAGCGUGGGGAGCAAACAGG